RNAcentral lists this ribosomal RNA (468 nucleotides) under uncultured bacterium. RNAcentral's name for it is "partial 16S ribosomal RNA". It matches the Rfam family "Bacterial small subunit ribosomal RNA", at positions 28 to 507 of the family's 1533-position model. The record is from RNAcentral.
GACGAACGCUGGCGGCGUGCUUAACACAUGCAAGUCGAACGGAAAGGCCCUGCUUUUGUGGGGUGCUCGAGUGGCGAACGGGUGAGUAACACGUGAGUAACCUGCCCUUGACUUUGGGAUAACUUCAGGAAACUGGGGCUAAUACCGGAUAGGAGCUCCUGCUGCAUGGUGGGGGUUGGAAAGUUUCGGCGGUUGGGGAUGGACUCGCGGCUUAUCAGAUUGUUGGUGGGGUAGUGUCUUACCAAGGCUUGGACGGGUAGCAGGCCUGAGAGGGGAACCGGACAAAUUGGACUGGGAAUGAGGCCCGGACUAGACCGGGAGGCAAGGCAGGGGAAGAGAACAUAGUGGGCGGAGGCCAGACGCAGCAAAGCAGCGUGGGGGAAGAGGGGAAGGGGGUAGUAUUCUGAUGUCGCUUUUGACGAGGUGUGAAUGACGGUAACGGGUAAAUAAGCUCCGGCUAACUACGUG